AAAGAUAAUACAACCACAUCACAUACAUAAUAACCACAAACAUUUCAUUAGUUCUACUUCAUAUCACCAAAAUGAUAUAGAAUAUUAAUUAUACAUCAACCCUUAAAUCUAGAUAUUAAAACUUAUCUCAAUCUGAAACUAAUCUCUAAACACUAAACCUUAAACCCUAAUCAUUAAACCCUAAAUUCAAAUAUAAACCAUAAACAUAAAUAUAAACCUAAAUCUAACUCCAACUUUUAAAUAUUAAACCCUAAAUGGAUCACUAAACCCAAACUCAAAUGUAAACUAUAUUAUAUAUUUAUAAUUUUAAAAUGAAAUUAAAAUCUGAAAAAUAUAUAUAAUAUUUUGUGAUAUUAAGCUAUACUAUAUAAAGAUGUAAAAUAUCAUACUAAACUCUAAACCCAACCCCUAAUUACUAAACUCUAAACCCUAGCCACUAAAUCCUAAACCCAAAUCCAAAUCUAGCCACUAAAUGCUAAACCCAAAUCCUAAAACCUAGCCACUAAAUCCUAAACCCAAACUUUAAACCCAACCCCUAAUAUUUUCAAGUACUAUACAUACAUAGUAUGAACAUUGUGUAAAAUAGUAUACAAAUGUUUAUUCUAUUUAUAUUAGUUGAGCAUCAUAUGUAAAAUAGUAAGAGAAGAAAUAAAAGUACUUGUUGAUGAAAAAGACGUUCUUGAACUAGACAUGACCCUAACAUUGUCAAACAUUUGAAUGAAACUAAUUUUAUAUUACGAGCAAUCAGAGAAAAGGACAUAGAAGAGAAAUAUCAAAUUUGAAGACAUGACAUAUAAACUCUAAACUCUAGUUUGAGAAGAAAAUUACUAAACCCUAAACCUUAAUCACUAAACCGUAAACCCAAAUAUAAACCCUAAACUCUAAACUCUACUCACUUACUUAAAUACUAAAACCCUAGACAAACCCCUAGUUACUAAAUCUAAACCCAAAUAACUAAAGUAUAAACCCAAACAAAAUAUAUAUAAUAUGUUGUCAAUUUUCUCAAUGUACACGACAUAGUAUGGAACCUCUAUAAAUAGUAUAGAAGUACUGGUACACUCCUUUUACAUUUGCCAAAUGACCAAGUUUGAGAAUGAAAUUACUAAACCGUAAACACUAAUCAACUCAAAUAUAAACCCAAAACCCUAAACUAUAAACCCAAAUCUCAAAAUCUAAUGCAAACCUCAACUUCACCACCAUUCUUCUAAAUAAUUGAAUUUUGAUUUUUAAACUAGAAUUGGUAAUAAUGAAUAUUCCAAAUAAUCAAA
RNAcentral lists this long non-coding RNA (1268 nucleotides) under Brassica napus (rape). Its description in RNAcentral is "long non-coding RNA (BNAP_LNC004209)". The record is from RNAcentral. Lineage: Eukaryota; Viridiplantae; Streptophyta; Magnoliopsida; Brassicales; Brassicaceae.